Molecule: long non-coding RNA, 878 nt
Organism: Daphnia carinata
Lineage: Eukaryota; Metazoa; Arthropoda; Branchiopoda; Diplostraca; Daphniidae
Exons: 7
Source: RefSeq, a predicted model, not a curated record
AAUGAAUAGAUUUUUCCAUCCAGGCUUUCUGGCAACUGCCAUAUAGCUUCUUAUUGCAUGAUGGAACAAGGAUUCUCCAUCGUCGUCAAGUAUGUUACACGGUGGAACGCUGCUGAAAGAAAGCAGGGACAUGGCGAACAGGACUUCGGAAAAUGUCUACCCUAAGGGUGAUGAUUACAUUUGUCUUACCAUUAAUCAGCUGUAGGAUAAAACUUGAUGAUUUCCCGGGUAAAACUGUGUUGCUAAUGUAAUGUUACGGAUGCCUCCUAAUCUGUCCAGCAGUCAUUUUCAAGGAUGAUCAAAUCAGGAGGUUAAGAAGAACACAUAGAGCAGCCAGCCAAUGACACACAAUUUAACUGUUUGAUAACUUUUUGGAAGGACAUUGUAUGACGGAGGAUCAGCCAUUCAAAGGGGCAUUUUAUGAUUGGGCUGAAUCACAUUUCUGUUAUUCUGUGGCUGAUAGAUGGACCGCUACUGAUUAACUUUUUUUGCGGUAUUUUUAGAUUUUUAUAGUUUUGAGUUUAUUCAAGAGUCUGCAAGCUCUUUGCUGACUUCCUCAUUCAGAUAUCGCCUGUCGACGAUUUCACAGCCUCACGCAAUUAAAGAACGUAUGACAAAAAGCAAAAAUGAUGUAUUCGGAGCAGAAAAAUGAAGGUGUAAUCCAUUUUAUUGAAAUAGGCACACGACAACGCUCAAUCAACGUCCUUGUCUCAGUGGAGAAUUUUUUCCGUGAAACAUAUGGCCGAAAUAAUAUUGCAGUUGUUCAACAAAGAAAAUUGUAUUGUCAGACAGCAUUAAUGUUUAAUAGCUUGAAAUCCAGAGAUGUGUGAAGUUGCGAAAUUUCUAGAUGUGAAGUGCAAUCAAGCUUCUUGUUGAAU